CACCAGACUCCUACGGGAGGCAGCAGUGGGGAAUAUUGCACAAUGGGGGAAACCCUGAUGCAGCGACGCCGCGUGAAGGAUGAAGUAUUUCGGUAUGUAAACUUCUAUCAGCAGGGAAGAAAAUGACGGUACCUGACUAAGAAGCCCCGGCUAACUACGUGCCAGCAGCCGCGGUAAUACGUAGGGGGCAAGCGUUAUCCGGAUUUACUGGGUGUAAAGGGGGCGCAGACGGCGAUGCAAGCCAGGAGUGAAAGCCCGGGGCCCAACCCCGGGACUGCUCUUGGAACUGCGUGGCUGGAGUGCAGGAGGGGCAGGCGGAAUUCCUGGUGUGGCGGUGAAAUGCGUAGAUAUCAGGAGGAACACCGGUGGCGAAGGCGGCCUGCUGGACUGCAACUGACGUUGAGGCCCGAAAGCGUGGGGAGCAAACAGGAUUAGAUACCCUCGUAC
This 447-nucleotide ribosomal RNA is filed under the name uncultured bacterium. RNAcentral's name for it is "bacterial SSU rRNA". It matches the Rfam family "Bacterial small subunit ribosomal RNA", at positions 329 to 793 of the family's 1533-position model. The record is from RNAcentral.